This 1466-nucleotide ribosomal RNA is filed under the name metagenome. RNAcentral describes it as "bacterial SSU rRNA". It matches the Rfam family "Archaeal small subunit ribosomal RNA". The record is from RNAcentral.
UCCGGUCGAUCCUGCCGGACCCUAUUGCUAUCGGGGUGAGAUUAAGCCAUGCAAGUUGCGCGCUCCCUAGCCAUGUUGGGAGAGCAGCGAACGGCUCAGUAGCACGUAGUCAAUCUGCCCUUAGGACGGGGAUAACCCUGGGAAACUGGGACUAAUACCCGAUAGAUGGGAGAGCCUGGAAUGGUCUCCCGUCUAAAAGUUCUUGCAAACAUGCUUACAAGAAUGCCUGAGGAUGAGACUGCGUCCGAUCAGGCUGUUGGUGGGGUAACGGCCCACCAAACCUAUAACCGGUACGGGCCCUGAAAGGGGGAGCCCGGAGAUGGGAACUGAGACAAGGUCCCAGGCCCUACGGGGCGCAGCAGGCGCGAAAACUCCGCAAUGCGCGCAAGCGUGACGGGGUUACCCCGAGUGCCGUCCGAUGAGGAUGGCUUUUACUCAUUGUAAGGAGCUGGGUGAAUAAAGGGGGGGCAAGUCUGGUGUCAGCCGCCGCGGUAAUACCAGCCCCCUGAGUGAUAGGGACGAUUAUUUAGCCUAAAGCGUCCGUAGCCGGUUUAGUAAGUCUUUCGUCAAAUCUGACGACUUAAUCGCCAGAGCGCAGAAGAUACUGCUAGACUUGAGGGCGGGAGAGGUUGACGGUAGUCCAGGAGUAGGGGUGAAAUCCUAUAAUCCCUGGAGGACCACCAGUGGCGAAGGCGGUCGACUAGAACGCGCCUGACGGUGAUGGACGAAAGCUGGGGGAGCAAACCGGAUUAGACACCCGGGUAGUCCCAGCUGUAAACGAUGCGGGCUAGGUGUUGGUGCAGCUACGUGCUUCACCAGUGCCGCAGAGAAGUCGUUAAGCCCGCCGCUUGGGAAGUACGGCCGCAAGGCUGAAACUUAAAGGAAUUGGCGGGGGAGCACCACAAGGGGUGAAGCCUGCGGUUCAAUUGGAGGCAACGCCGGGAAACUUACCAAGGCUGACAGCAGAGUGAAGGCCAGACUAAAGAUCUUGCUAGACAAGCUGAGAGGUGGCGCAUGGCCGUCGACAGUUCGUGCCGUGAGGUGUCCUGUUAAGUCAGGCAACGAACGAGAUCCUCGCUUUUAAUUGCCAGCGGGUUCCAACGGAACGCCGGGCACUUUAAUUGGACUGCCAUCGAUAAGAUGGAGGAAGGAGAGGGCCACGGCAGGUCAGUAUGCCCCAAAUGCCUUGGGCCACACGCGGGCUGCAAUGGUAGGUACAGAGGGUUCUGACCUCGAAAGGGGAAAGUAAUCCCGAAACCCUAUCGUAGUUGGGACUGAGGGCUGAAACCCGCCCUCACGAACAUGGAAUCCCUAGUAAUCGCGCGUCAUCAUCGCGCGGUGAAUACGUCCCCGCUCCUUGCACACACCGCCCGUCGCUCCAUCCAAGUCAAGUUUAGAUGAGGCGCAGUCUUCCUUGGCUAUGUCGAAUCUAAGCUUGGUAAGGGGGGAGAAGUCGUAACAAGGUG